GGGCGAGUGGCGGAAUGGCAGACGCGCACGACUCAAAAUCGUGUGGGGAAACUCAUGAGGGUUCGACUCCCUCCCCGCCCACAA
RNAcentral lists this transfer RNA (84 nucleotides) under Candidatus Colwellbacteria bacterium CG_4_9_14_0_2_um_filter_50_12. RNAcentral's name for it is "tRNA-Leu". It matches the Rfam family "tRNA". From Rfam's summary of the family: Transfer RNA (tRNA) molecules are approximately 80 nucleotides in length. The record is from RNAcentral. Lineage: Bacteria; Candidatus Colwelliibacteriota.